RNAcentral lists this transfer RNA (87 nucleotides) under Xiphophorus maculatus (southern platyfish). It matches the Rfam family "tRNA". From Rfam's summary of the family: Transfer RNA (tRNA) molecules are approximately 80 nucleotides in length. Their secondary structure includes four short double-helical elements and three loops (D, anti-codon, and T loops). The record is from Rfam by way of RNAcentral. Lineage: Eukaryota; Metazoa; Chordata; Actinopteri; Cyprinodontiformes; Poeciliidae.
GGCUCUGUGGCGCAGCGGACAGCGCCUUGGACUUUUAGCUAUGUAGAAGAGAGUCAAAGGUUGUGGGUUUGAGUCCCGACAGAGUCA